This 253-nucleotide ribosomal RNA is filed under the name uncultured bacterium. Its description in RNAcentral is "partial 16S ribosomal RNA". It matches the Rfam family "Bacterial small subunit ribosomal RNA", at positions 524 to 776 of the family's 1533-position model. The record is from RNAcentral.
UACAGAGGUCUCGAGCGUUAUGCGGAAUCACUGGGCUUAAAGCGUGUGUAGGCGGAUCGUUAAGUACCUUGUGAAAUCCCACGGCUUAACCGUGGAACUGCUUGGUAUACUGGCGGUCUUGAGCCAGCUAGGGGCUACCGGAACAAAUGGUGGAGCGGUGAAAUGCGUAGAUAUCAUUUGGAACGCCAAUGGUGAAAACAGGUAGCUGGGGCUGUGCUGACGCUGAGACACGAAAGCCAGGGGAGCAAACGGG